AAAACUAGUUUUUGGAGGUUUAUUUUGAUUUAAAAAACAGCAAAUUUGCAGUACUCUAUAAGAAAUCUACAACCACAUUAAAGCUUAUCAACAUAAAAUAUAUAUUAAACAGUAUUUGUCCUAGAAGAAUCAAGAAAAAAAUCUGCAGGCAACUAAAGCAUUUAUAUAUGAUAACUGAUUUAAAUCCAUAAUUUUCUGUCUUUUUUGCUUCAAAUUACCUCCCUUUGGUAUAGCUCUCUAACAUAGGAGGAAUAAACGGUAGUUUGCUUACAUUGUUUUCAAUAACAGUGUACAGAAGACUAGAAGAAAAUUACAAACUUGGAGCAGUCUGAGCCUCAGUUUUGGCGUUUUCAUGAGUCUUAAUUACGAAUGAAAUUCGCCACUUUGAAGCCAAACUCGGAAAGAAGCAGAAACAGAAUUGGAUGAGCUGAUAGAUAGAAUUAGACAGGAAAAACGUAUUAUCAUUAUGAGAAUACAUCAUUACAGUACAGACCAUUGAUGCUGGAAGUGAGUGGAUAGUGUUACCGGAGACUCAAGG
Saccostrea cuccullata (small rock oyster) is the source of this 538-nucleotide long non-coding RNA. RefSeq lists it as uncharacterized. The transcript is spliced from 3 exons. The record is from RefSeq and is a predicted model, not a curated record. NCBI's taxonomy places the organism in Eukaryota, Metazoa, Mollusca, Bivalvia, Ostreida, Ostreidae.